UGAGCAAUCUGCCCUUCUCUUUGGAAUAAGCGUUGGAAACGACGUCUAAUGCCGAAUACGACCUCCUUUCGCAUGAUCGGAGGUGGAAAGCUCCGGCGGAGAAGGAUGAGCUCGCGGUCUAUCAGCUAGUUGGUGUGGGUAAUGGCCCACCAAGGCGACGACGGGUAGCCGGCCUGAGAGGGUGACCGGCCACACUGGGACUGAGACACGGCCCAGACUCCUACGGGAGGNAG
Molecule: ribosomal RNA, 233 nt
Filed under: uncultured bacterium
Lineage: Bacteria
Description: partial 16S ribosomal RNA
Rfam family: Bacterial small subunit ribosomal RNA
Source: RNAcentral